UGGGGAAUUUUGGACAAUGGGCGAAANCCUGAUCCAGCAAUGCCGCGUGUGUGAAGAAGGCCUUCGGGUUGUAAAGCACUUUUGUCCGGAAAGAAAUCCUUGGCUCUAAUACAGUCGGGGGGAUGACGGUACCGGAAGAAUAAGCACCGGCUAACUACGUGCCAGCAGCCGCGGUAAUACGUAGGGUGCAAGCGUUAAUCGAAUUACUGGGGCGUAAAGCGUGCGCAGGCGGUUUCUUAAGUCUGCUGUGAAAUCCCCGGGCUCAACCUGGGAAUGGCAGUGAUACUGGGAGGCUAGAGUGUGUCAGAGGGGUGGUGGAAUUCCCCGGUGUAGCGGUGAAAUGCGUAGAGAUCGGGGAGGAACAUCAGUGGCGAGGCGGCCACCUGGGACAACACUGACGCUGAGGCACGAAAGCGUGGGGGAGCAAACAGGAUUAGAUNCCCUGGUAGUCCACGCCCUAAANGAUGCGAACUGGAUGUUGGUCUCAACUCGGAGAUCAGUGUCGAAGCUAACGCGUUAAGUUCGCCGCCUGGGGAGUACGGUCG
This 545-nucleotide ribosomal RNA is filed under the name uncultured bacterium. RNAcentral describes it as "partial 16S ribosomal RNA". It matches the Rfam family "Bacterial small subunit ribosomal RNA", at positions 355 to 888 of the family's 1533-position model. The record is from RNAcentral.